UUAAGUGACUAAGCGUACAAGGUGGAUGCCUUGGCAAUCAGAGGCGAAGAAGGACGUGCUAAUCUGCGAAAAGCUUGGAUGAGUCGAUAAGAGGCGCUUAAUCCAAGAUAUCCGAAUGGGGAAACCCAGUAGAUGAAGAAUCUACUAUCAACAAGUGAAUUCAUAGCUUGUUGAGGCAAACCGGGAGAACUGAAACAUCUAAGUACCCCGAGGAAAAGAAAUCAACCGAGAUUUCGUCAGUAGCGGCGAGCGAAAGCGAAAGAGCCAGUAAGUGAUAACAGUAUGGUUAGGAGAAUGUGUUGGGAAGCACAAUCAAAGAGGGUGAUAAUCCCGUAUCUAAAAACCAUAUUGUGGUACUAAGCUAACGAGAAGUAGGGCGGGACACGUGAUAUCCUGUUUGAAGAAGGGGGGACCAUCCUCCAAGGCUAAAUACUCCUGAUUGACCGAUAGUGAACCAGUACUGUGAAGGAAAGGCGAAAAGAACCCCGGUGAGGGGAGUGAAAUAGAACCUGAAACCUUGUACGUACAAGCAGUGGGAGCCCCAUCACUUAAUCCGAUUAGAAGGUGAUGAAAAGCAACCGCACUUAAACAAUGGUAAGAGGAGCGAAGCGAGUCAAACCACCCAAAAGAAGCAGUGGGAUUAAGUGAUGGGGUGACUGCGUACCUUUUGUAUAAUGGGUCAGCGACUUAUAUUUUGUAGCGAGGUUAACUGAAUAGGGGAGCCGAAGGGAAACCGAGUCUUAACUGGGCGAGUAGUUGCAAGGUAUAGACCCGAAACCCGGUGAUCUAGCCAUGGGCAGGUUGAAGGUUGGGUAACACUAACUGGAGGACCGAACCGACUAAUGUUGAAAAAUUAGCGGAUGACUUGUGGCUGGGGGUGAAAGGCCAAUCAAACCGGGAGAUAGCUGGUUCUCCCCGAAAUCUAUUUAGGUAGAGCCUUGAGGUGACACCUUUGGGGGUAGAGCACUGUUUCGGCUAGGGGGCCAUCCCGGCUUACCAACCCGAUGCAAACUACGAAUACCAAAGAGUGAUACUCAGGAGACACACGGCGGGUGCUAACGUCCGUCGUGGAGAGGGAAACAACCCAGACCGCCAGCUAAGGUCCCCAAGUCUAUAUUAAGUGGGAAACGAAGUGGGAAGGCUUAGACAGCUAGGAUGUUGGCUUAGAAGCAGCCAUCAUUUAAAGAAAGCGUAAUAGCUCACUAGUCGAGUCGGCCUGCGCGGAAGAUGUAACGGGGCUGAAAUAUAGCACCGAAGCUGCGGCAUCAGAAUUUAUUCUGUUGGGUAGGGGAGCGUUGUGUAAGCGGAAGAAGGUUCAUCGAGAGGUGGGCUGGACGUAUCACAAGUGCGAAUGCUGACAUAAGUAACGAUAAAACGGGUGAAAAACCCGUUCGCCGGAAGACCAAGGGUUCCUGUCCAACGUUAAUCGGGGCAGGGUGAGUCGGCUCCUAAGGCGAGGCUGAAAAGCGUAGUCGAUGGGAAACAGGUUAAUAUUCCUGUACUUGGUAAAGCUGCGAUGUGGGGACGGAGUAGGUUAGGUUAUCGCACUGUUGGAUAUGUGCGUUUAAGUUGGUAGGUGGGAAGUUUAGGCAAAUCCGGGCUUCCUUAACACAGAGAGAUGAUGACGAGGCUCUACGGAGCUGAAGUAACUGAUACCACACUUCCAGGAAAAGCCACUAAGCGAAAGGCUUUACUAAACCGUACUGAAAACCGACACAGGUGGUCAGGUAGAGAAUACUCAGGCGCUUGAGAGAACUCGGGUGAAGGAACUAGGCAAAAUAGCACCGUAACUUCGGGAGAAGGUGCGCCGGCGUAGAUUGUAAGGGCUAGCCCCUGAAGGUUGAACCGGUCGAAGAUACCAGCUGGCUGCAACUGUUUAUUAAAAACACAGCACUCUGCAAACACGAAAGUGGACGUAUAGGGUGUGAUGCCUGCCCGGUGCUGGAAGGUUAAUUGAUGGUGUAAUCGCAAGAGAAGCACCUGAUCGAAGCCCCAGUAAACGGCGGCCGUAACUAUAACGGUCCUAAGGUAGCGAAAUUCCUUGUCGGGUAAGUUCCGACCUGCACGAAUGGCAUAAUGAUGGCCAGGCUGUCUCCACCCGAGACUCAGUGAAAUUGAAAUCGCCGUGAAGAUGCGGUGUACCCGCGGCUAGACGGAAAGACCCCGUGAACCUUUACUAUAGCUUGACACUGAACAUUGAAUUUUGAUGUGUAGGAUAGGUGGGAGCCUUUGAAGCAGUGACGCCAGUCAUUGUGGAGGCGACCUUGAAAUACCACCCUUUAACGUUUGAUGUUCUAACGAAGAUGACGAAACGUGGUCUCGGACAGUGUCUGGUGGGUAGUUUGACUGGGGCGGUCUCCUCCCAAAGCGUAACGGAGGAGCACGAAGGUUUGCUAAUCACGGUCGGACAUCGUGAGGUUAGUGCAAUGGUAUAAGCAAGCUUAACUGCGAGACAGACAAGUCGAGCAGGUACGAAAGUAGGUCAUAGUGAUCCGGUGGUUCUGAAUGGAAGGGCCAUCGCUCAACGGAUAAAAGGUACUCCGGGGAUAACAGGCUGAUACCGCCCAAGAGUUCAUAUCGACGGCGGUGUUUGGCACCUCGAUGUCGGCUCAUCACAUCCUGGGGCUGAAGUAGGUCCCAAGGGUAUGGCUGUUCGCCAUUUAAAGUGGUACGCGAGCUGGGUUUAGAACGUCGUGAGACAGUUCGGUCCCUAUCUGCCGUGGGCGUUGGAUGAUUAAUUGGGGCUGCUCCUAGUACGAGAGGACCGGAGUGGACGCAUCACUGGUGUUCCAGUUGUCUCGCCAGAGGCAUUGCUGGGUAGCUAAGUGCGGAAGAGAUAAGUGCUGAAAGCAUCUAAGCACGAAACUUGCCAAGAGAUGAGUCAUCCCUGACUUUAAGUCAGUAAGGGUUGUUGUAGACUACGACGUAGAUAGGUCUGGUGUGUAAGUGUAGUGAUAUAUUGAGCUAACAGAUACUAAUUGCCCGAGAGGCUUAACUAU
Molecule: ribosomal RNA, 2999 nt
Filed under: Haemophilus influenzae
Lineage: Bacteria; Pseudomonadati; Pseudomonadota; Gammaproteobacteria; Pasteurellales; Pasteurellaceae
Description: bacterial LSU rRNA
Rfam family: Bacterial large subunit ribosomal RNA
Source: RNAcentral